UCUUUCAUGGAUACUUUUGAGCAUUUGCUCUUAUGAUUUUGAUAAAAAUCCGACCAACCCUGAUUCAUUACAUGAUUCAAUUCUCUCAAAAUUAACAACAAGAAGAUAGAUUUAAAUUUUAUCUGAGCUGAGGUGGAAGUGAAGAUGGUGAUGAUGAGCAUGGGAAGAGGAGAAGAAGAAGAGUAGAAGAAACAAAAGAAGAAGAAGAAAAGAGGAUGAGAGGAAACAGGGGCAAGAGAGAAACAGCACAUGGGAGAGAGAGAGAGAGCGCACGAUGUGGAAGAGAAAAUGAGGGAAGUAAGGAGAGUGAUGGAAGGAGAGGAAGAGAGCACGACUCGGGACAUUGGGAGUUUCUGUUGCACGGAAUAGAGGAUAAAUCCUCUGUUCCUAUUUUAUCUAGUGACCACUUAAUAGGCAGGACAACUAGGGGUGGCAAAUGGGUCGAUUGGAUCAGAUACAGGUCAAAUCAAUAU
Molecule: long non-coding RNA, 473 nt
Filed under: Elaeis guineensis (African oil palm)
Lineage: Eukaryota; Viridiplantae; Streptophyta; Magnoliopsida; Arecales; Arecaceae
Description: long non-coding RNA (EGUI_LNC070655)
Source: RNAcentral